UACAGAGGUCUCGAGCGUUGUUCGGAUUCAUUGGGCGUAAAGGGUGCGUAGGUGGCGCAGUAAGUCGGGUGUGAAAUCCUGAGGCUUAACCUCAGAACUGCAUUCGAUACUGCUGUGCUUGAGGACUGGGGAGGAGACUGGAAUUUACGGUGUAGCGGUGAAAUGCGUAGAUAUCGUAAGGAAGACCAGUGGCGAAGGCGGGUCUCUGGACAGUUCCUGACGCUGAGGCACGAAGGCCAGGGGAGCAAACGGG
RNAcentral lists this ribosomal RNA (253 nucleotides) under uncultured bacterium. RNAcentral describes it as "partial 16S ribosomal RNA". It matches the Rfam family "Bacterial small subunit ribosomal RNA", at positions 524 to 776 of the family's 1533-position model. The record is from RNAcentral.